RNAcentral lists this ribosomal RNA (457 nucleotides) under uncultured Thiobacillus sp. RNAcentral's name for it is "bacterial SSU rRNA". It matches the Rfam family "Bacterial small subunit ribosomal RNA", at positions 346 to 795 of the family's 1533-position model. Lineage: Bacteria; Pseudomonadati; Pseudomonadota; Betaproteobacteria; Nitrosomonadales; Thiobacillaceae. The record is from RNAcentral.
CGGCAGCAGUGGGGAAUUUUGGACAAUGGGGGCAACCCUGAUCCAGCCAUUCCGCGUGAGUGAAGAAGGCCUUCGGGUUGUAAAGCUCUUUCAGCUGGAAAGAAACGGUGAGCUCUAACAUAGCUUGCUAAUGACGGUACCAGCAGAAGAAGCACCGGCUAACUACGUGCCAGCAGCCGCGGUAAUACGUAGGGUGCGAGCGUUAAUCGGAAUUACUGGGCGUAAAGCGUGCGCAGGCGGUUUUGUAAGACAGAUGUGAAAUCCCCGGGCUUAACCUGGGAAUGGCAUUUUGAACUGGCAGUCUAGAGUGUGUCAGAGGGGGGUGGAAUUCCACGUGUAGCAGUGAAAUGCGUAGAUAUGUGGAGGAACACCAAUGGCGAAGGCAGCCCCCUGGGAUAACACUGACGCUCAUGUACGAAAGCGUGGGUAGCAAACAGGAUUAGAUACCCCUGUAGUC